This 440-nucleotide ribosomal RNA is filed under the name uncultured bacterium. Its description in RNAcentral is "partial 16S ribosomal RNA". It matches the Rfam family "Bacterial small subunit ribosomal RNA", at positions 338 to 795 of the family's 1533-position model. The record is from RNAcentral.
CCUACGGGUGGCUGCAGUGGGGAAUAUUGCACAAUGGGGGAAACCCUGAUCCAGCGACGCCGCGUGAGUGAAGAAGUAUCUCGGUAUGUAAAGCUCUAUUAGCAGGGAAGAAAAUGACGGUACCUGAUUAAGAAGCCCCGGCUGACUACGUGCCAGCAGCCGCGGUAAUAUGUAGGGGACAAGCGUUAUCCGGAUUUACUGGGUGUUAAGGGAGCGUAGGCGGCAGCACAAGUCUGGAGUGAAAUGCCGGGGCUUAACCCCGGAACUGCGUUGGAAACUGGGCAGCUAGAGUGGGGGAGAGGUAAGUGGAAUGCGUGGUGUAGCGGUGAAAUGCGUAGAUAUUAGGAAGAACACCAGUGGCGAAGGCAGCUUACUGGACUGUAACUGACGUUGAGGCACGAAAGCGUGGGGAGCGAACAGGAUUAGAUACCCGAGUAGUC